UAUUCCAAAAGCAGGAUGUUGAAGAAUGGAAGAAAAACAAGCUAUGAUUUUUUUCCCCCCUAGAUAAGAAUGAAUAAUGGUUAAAAGAAACAUGAACAGCAAAUGUGGGACAGGGGAAAGCUCUGGAACCUCAGCUGGGGUGGAGAAGAGAGCAGAGACCUUCUCCUUUAUCCCUUUGAUCAGGGGAAAAGGCAACCACAGUGGUGGAACUGCAGGUUCAUUGAUCAAUUCCUUAAAUAAAAGCACCUUUUUUCUUUUUAGCCACAAAGAGGAGCUGGUUUGGUGUAGCAAGAGCAGGAGGAGGCAGAGGCUGCCAAGAGCAGAGGGACUGGAAGUGCCAAGGCUGGGGGUGAAGUCAGGAUCCAGAAAUCCUGUCAGAUGCCCUCCCACACACUGCCCUGCUCUGUCUGGCUCUGAGGACAUUAAGACUGCUUUGCCUUUGCCUUCUGAGGGUCCAGGGCUCUCUGGCUUUACUUUGAAUUGUAAAACAGAAGCCAGACUCCUCUGCCUCAAGCACUGGCACAGAGAUCCCUCAGACAAGGCCCUGAUUGAUGGGCUGGCACCACCAGCAGGAAUUAUUUACCUGGCAGCAACAGGGGGAUGUCUGCAUCUGGAAUUAGGACAUUACAUGUCCCACAGCCUGAGGAAAGUGAAGAAAGCCAGGUUUAAUUCUUGGCUGGAACUCCUCAUCCUCACCUCCUCCAUCCCCAGGGGGAGGUCUGAGUGCCCAAGGAUCUGUGAGAGGACCAAGCAAUUUAAAAUGACUUAAAAUAUCUCUCCAGAAGCAUUCACUGGGAGUACAAUAGGUGAGAGAGAGCAGGAAAGGAAAACCAGGAAGGGACUGAGGCAUCCAGAACACAGAUCCCAUCUCCUGGAUGAAGCCAGUCACAGACAUCACCAGGGUGACCAAAUGCCUCAUCCUCCCAACUCACAGCACCAAACAGCUGCAGCCUGAACGAGCAAACAGCAGGGUUUGUAUUGUGCAGUUUUCAGUUUUAGAAAAGGAAAAAAAAAAAAAAAAAAAAAGAAAAAGAAAAAAGAAAUCUUGUUGCAGCUCACACUAGGCCUGUUAUAACUAUGCCUGUUAUUCACCCAGGGAUAAAUAUUGACUCAGUCCUGUGUGUGUACACAAUAGCCAGUGCCUGCCAGGACAGUUGCUUGCAGGAGGUGGAAUUUAGUUUAAAGGCAUUUAUUUACCUGCCAGGCAGGAAUGCAGCUGCCAGGGUGAGGGCAGGAUCUGUCCCUGCACACCCCAGAUGUGGGGCAGGACCCUCAUCCCAGCAGGAUCCUGGAGCAGCCAUGAGGGGAGGCUGGCAAAGCUGCCAAUGAGGCAGCUCAGAAAUUCCUGGGAACUUCAAGACCCAGACCUUCAUCAUGUCAACUGCAUUCUGCAAAUGUCUGGCCCCAGACAAAAAGAACUGGAAACUACACAUGCCCAAGCUCUGGGAUACCUCCUGGUUGUCCCCAUGUGGACAUUUUUCUGGAAUAAACUUGCCUUUAUUCUGGAAUGGAAUGUCUAUACUGGGAUAUAUUCUUGUCAUGGUUCCUGUGUAAACAAGCCUUAAAAAUGAAUGGAGCUGGGCUUUUUUUUUUUUUCUGUUUCCAUUCACCAAUAAACACCCUCAAAUGGAGUUUCCACCCUGCUCUGGGUCCUGGUAACAAUAGAAGUGGGAAGAUAAAAUAUUAACACUAUUUUGCAAGAGGCAAUUGCAUGUAACUCCUCCAAAGAGAACAAUGCUGCUCCAGGCAGGAAGGGAAACUCAGAAAUCUUGGCUCCUGCACUUUUGGAAACACAAAGCUUUUCUUUUUAAGUUUUGCCACGUUGCUUGGGGCAGGUCAGACCGAGGGAGUCCAGCCUGUGACACCAGGGAUUGGUACUGGCCAGCAGAGCCAGGGCCUGGCCAGGGAGUACCAGGGC
This 1918-nucleotide long non-coding RNA is filed under the name Taeniopygia guttata (zebra finch). RNAcentral's name for it is "lncRNA (ENSTGUG00000021081.1)". The record is from RNAcentral. Lineage: Eukaryota; Metazoa; Chordata; Aves; Passeriformes; Estrildidae.